ACAGGUGCUGCAUGGCUGUCGUCAGCUCGUGUCGUGAGAUGUUGGGUUAAGUCCCGCAACGAGCGUAACCCUUGUCUUUAGUUGCCAUUAUUAAGUUAGGCACUCUAAAGAGACUGCCUCGGUUAACGGGGAGGAAGGUGGGGAUGACGUCAAGUCCUCAUGGCCUUUAUAUCCAGGGCUACACACGUGCUACAAUGGGCUGUACAAAGGGUUGCUAUCCCGCGAGGGGGCGCCAAUCCCAAAAAGCAGUUCUCAGUUCGGAUUGAAGUCUGCAACUCGACUUCAUGAAGGUGGAAUCGCUAGUAAUCGUGGAUCAGCAUGCCACGGUGAAUACGUUCCCGGGCCUUGUACACACCGCCCGUCACACCACGAAAGUCGACUGUA
Molecule: ribosomal RNA, 384 nt
Filed under: uncultured delta proteobacterium
Lineage: Bacteria; Deltaproteobacteria
Description: bacterial SSU rRNA
Rfam family: Bacterial small subunit ribosomal RNA
Source: RNAcentral